GAUGAACGCUGGCGGCGUGCCUAAUACAUGCAAGUAGAACGCUGAAGGAGGAGCUUGCUCUUCUGGAUGAGUUGCGAACGGGUGAGUAACGCGUAGGUAACCUGCCUGGUAGCGGGGGAUAACUAUUGGAAACGAUAGCUAAUACCGCAUGACAACAGUUAUUGCAUGAUAACUGUUUAAAAGGGGCAACUGCUCCACUACCAGAUGGACCUGCGUUGUAUUAGCUAGUUGGUGAGGUAACGGCUCACCAAGGCGACGAUACAUAGCCGACCUGAGAGGGUGAUCGGCCACACUGGGACUGAGACAGGGCCCAGACUCCUACGGGAGGCAGCAGUAGGGAAUCUUCGGCAAUGGACGGAAGUCUGACCGAGCAACGCCGCGUGAGUGAAGAAGGUUUUCGGAUCGUAAAGCUCUGUUGUAAGAGAAGAACGAGUGUGAGAGUGGAAAGUUCACACUGUGACGGUAUCUUACCAGAAAGGGACGGCUAACUACGUG
This 495-nucleotide ribosomal RNA is filed under the name uncultured bacterium. Its description in RNAcentral is "partial 16S ribosomal RNA". It matches the Rfam family "Bacterial small subunit ribosomal RNA", at positions 28 to 507 of the family's 1533-position model. The record is from RNAcentral.